RNAcentral lists this ribosomal RNA (616 nucleotides) under Delina nigrita. RNAcentral describes it as "partial 12S ribosomal RNA". The record is from RNAcentral. Lineage: Eukaryota; Metazoa; Arthropoda; Insecta; Diptera; Scathophagidae.
AAAUUAUUUCAAUUUUCUUUCACAAUACUAUUAAACUAUAAUUAAAUUUAUUUUUUCUAUAUUAAAUACUAAAACAAAACUUUAUAUAAUUAUUUUUAAUAAUUUAUAUUCUUUUUAAAAAAAAUUAAUAAAUAAAAUAUAAUCAAUUUAUAUUGAUUUGCACAAAAAUUUUUUCAAUGUAAAUGAAAUGCUUUACUAAAUAAGCUUUAAAUCGCAUUCUAGAUACACUUUCCAGUACAUCUACUAUGUUACGACUUAUCUUAUUUUAAUAAUAAGAGUGACGGGCGAUGUGUACAUAUUUUAGAGCUAAAAUCAAAUUAUUAAUCUAUAUAAUUUUACUAUCAAAUCCAAUUUCAAUAAAUAUUUCAAAUUUAUAUCCACAUAAAUAAUUUUAUUGUAACCCAUUUCUACUUAAAUAUAAGCUACACCUUGAUCUGAUAUACUUUUAUUUAUAAAAUCAUGAAAAUUAACAUUCUUAUAAAAUAUUCUAAUAACGACGGUAUAUAAACUGAAUACAAAUUUAAGUAAGGUCCAUCGUGGAUUAUCGAUUAUAGAACAGGUUCCUCUGAAUAGACUAAAAUACCGCCAAAUUUUUUAAGUUUAAAGAACAUAGCUA